Molecule: long non-coding RNA, 965 nt
Organism: Phyllostomus discolor (pale spear-nosed bat)
Lineage: Eukaryota; Metazoa; Chordata; Mammalia; Chiroptera; Phyllostomidae
Exons: 3
Source: RefSeq, a predicted model, not a curated record
UCUGUUCAUAUGCAAACACUGGAAUGUGUAGAUUUCACUUCACUUUCAUAGAAGCAUUAGAUUUGUUCAAAAACCUGAAGUAUGAGCCACUUAAAUGGAAUUUAGAUACUUAUUCUACUAGACACUUGAUACAACUUCUGAAAGGAUAGUUAUUUAAAAACUCAUUCAUCACUUAAUGUUCAAAGUUCAUUCAUCAUGAAUACUUUAUGUCAUUCUUAAAAAAAUUAUCAGAGAUUCAAAUUUCUGCAAGGCUCAUUGUGUUAUGUCCAUAUGGUACAUUUUGCAGCUAACAAAAGAAGGGAAAUAACAUCCUAAUCUGCUUUAUUCAUUCAUCUGCUCUCUUUAUUUCAUUCAGGAGGGUUUUUAACAUAAAGAGUUUCAGUGAUGAUAGAAGCUGCAGAAGUAAUGCUGGGAAUGCGUUAUUGGAUGCAAAUGCUGGAGAAGAGCGAGGAGCUCAAGUGCUUCUUCCUGUCUGCUUUGUGUAACUGAGACUAUGUUUCCAGCAGGAAGAGAGAGAGGUUUUCUGUAAGGGAAAAAGCACACAGGGGUUGUAUUUUUUGCAGUAGAAUACUCAGGUUAAAAGACUAACUUAAUAAGGUUUGGGGAUAAAUGCUUAUAAAAAAAAUGAGAUAACACUUAAAGUAUACUAAGGCAAUUUAAUGAGCACUGAGUCUAAACCAGCACUGUCCAACACAUUUCAAGCUACUAUGUUUUUCAGAUUAUAAGACGCACCACCCACUGCCCAAAUUUGGGAGGAAAAGGGGGUGCAUCUUAUAGUCCAAAUGCAGCUUACCUGGCUUGUGGUGGAAGGGGAGUGGCGGUGGAGCGGGGUCAUAGGUUAUUAAAUAUUUUACCACAUUUUUUGCUUCAAAUUUUUUUUUCUAUUUUCCUCCUCUAAAACCUAGGUGCAUCUUGUGGUUCGGUGUGUCUAAUAGUCCUAAAAAUAUAGUACUUUAAAGGGGACU